AAUAAAUCAAAUUAAGACCAAAUCAACCAAUUCAAUCUCAAUAGAAACAAACAAAUAAUUAAACACACCAACAACUCAAAAUCACCAUUACAUCAAUUACGCACCACAAUCGAUCGGCUGCCAUCACCAGCAUCAAGAACCACGCACUGCACUAAGAAUCACGCACUGCAAUCGACCGACCACCAACAAUAACAACUUGCUAGAAGAGACACAAUACAAAAUAAUCAAAAAAAGCCGGAGGAAGUGUGAACCGCUAGACACAUAAGUGUUGUUCCGAAAGUAAUGACAUCACACAUGCAAAAAUCCUUCUAUCAAAGGCACAGUAGAAAUCCUCUAAUCAAAUUCGUCAAGAAAUAGUUUUCCCACCGGAUAGAAUCAAGAACUGAAAAAGAGAAAUCAAAAUAAAUAUAUAAAAGAAAAAUAAAAUAAAAACUCCAACCUAUCAAUCCUGCAAGGGAG
This 459-nucleotide long non-coding RNA is filed under the name Manihot esculenta (cassava). RNAcentral's name for it is "long non-coding RNA (MESC_LNC010428)". The record is from RNAcentral. Lineage: Eukaryota; Viridiplantae; Streptophyta; Magnoliopsida; Malpighiales; Euphorbiaceae.